GAGUUUGAUCGUGGCUCAGAUUGAACGCUGGCGGCAGGCCUAACACAUGCAAGUCGAGCGGUAGAGAGAAGCUUGCUUCUCUUGAGAGCGGCGGACGGGUGAGUAAUGCCUAGGAAUCUGCCUGGUAGUGGGGGAUAACGCUCGGAAACGGACGCUAAUACCGCAUACGUCCUACGGGAGAAAGCAGGGGACCUUCGGGCCUUGCGCUAUCAGAUGAGCCUAGGUCGGAUUAGCUAGUUGGUGAGGUAAUGGCUCACCAAGGCGACGAUCCGUAACUGGUCUGAGAGGAUGAUCAGUCACACUGGAACUGAGACACGGUCCAGACUCCUACGGGAGGCAGCAGUGGGGAAUAUUGGACAAUGGGCGAAAGCCUGAUCCAGCCAUGCCGCGUGUGUGAAGAAGGUCUUCGGAUUGUAAAGCACUUUAAGUUGGGAGGAAGGGCAGUAAAUUAAUACUUUGCUGUUUUGACGUUUACCGACUAGAAUAAGCACCGGCUAACUCUGUGCCAGCAC
This 512-nucleotide ribosomal RNA is filed under the name uncultured bacterium. Its description in RNAcentral is "bacterial SSU rRNA". It matches the Rfam family "Bacterial small subunit ribosomal RNA", at positions 9 to 514 of the family's 1533-position model. The record is from RNAcentral.